Molecule: long non-coding RNA, 4421 nt
Filed under: Pelobates cultripes (western spadefoot toad)
Lineage: Eukaryota; Metazoa; Chordata; Amphibia; Anura; Pelobatidae
Source: RNAcentral
UAUCUAUAUAACAUUUUAUUCUAACUGUAUUUUGAUAGAUAGAUAUAUAUAUAUAUCUAUCUAUCAAAAUACACUUAGAACGAAAUUGUAUGUAUAUCUAUUGUAACGGUACUCCUAGUGCUUCCCGAGGACUCCAAGCACUCCACCUGACACCAUAACCACUGUAGACUCCCACGAACCGCCGCAGCUUUGUUGGGGUCUCGCCGUCUCCACCCACUCUGGACCCAAGACCAGGGUCCAGUUUCCAGUAGGUCAACCUCUCCAAAUUCCAGAAAGCAGGAAAAGGAACAAGCUCUUAGCAGAGCUUUAGUGAUCAUACCCUGGGGAGUAUAGUGAUUAUAGCAAUCCCCAGAGUGUAGUUAUCCAAUCCCCCAAACAUGAGCCGAAACUUAAUGAAGGUACAAGAUGAUCUGACUCCAAUGAGCGUUUUUCUCCUUAUAUACAAGUUUUCAGGCCAGAGGCACACCCGCUGGACCUGGUGGUAAACUGUGACAAAAGGGAACACUAACAUAAUAACACUCCCACAUACACAAUGAAAUCCCUCCUCUCCAUCCUGGAGAUAAUUGGCUUAAGGCACUGCAGUAAACUCAAUUAUCUCCAGGUACAGAAAAUAUCUACAUUUUACACUAACAGCAAAAAUACGUAAAAGUACAUAAAAAUACAUCAUUCUUAUUAUAUUACACAGAACCCCCACAUUUAACCUAUCCCCGGAUAGGUCAGAUAUGAGCGCCCAAUAUAGGUGAACAGCGCUCAGAUCCCAUGAACAGAGUAAAUUUGCCAUGGGGUAAAGCAUAGCAAGGGCUGUUGAUAGACCAAGGAGGGACAAAAGCAGUCAGUUCCAACUGGUUUGGCAGUGUGCCUGGGACAACGCCCUGCUGCAGAACAAUAGACAGGAAACGGGGAAGGGGAAGAAACACACCUUCUCAUGGAUUCAAAUGGGCAGAAACAGUCUUUAGAAGGCAAUAAGCCCCAAAUAGUCUUUUUAAAUGGCAACCCCAGCGCCAUAGUCAUGAGGAAGGAGGCUGGCAAUCAGGCUCCUCAAACAGCCGGGGGCAAAGGGCAGCUUGUCACCUAACAGUCCAGUGACAAAAGGCAUUUUGUCACAUCUAUGUAUAUAUAAAUAAAAAUAAUGCGAAAUAUACAAAUGUCCAUAUACAAAAUUACAUAAAUAAUUAUAUAAAUAUACACGUAGACUUCAAAUAUAUAAAUAUGCAUAUAUAUUUAAAUUCUACGUGCGUAUUUAUGUAAUGUUUUUACAUAGUUAAGUAACUUUAUUGAUUGCAAUUUGAGGGACCUGCCUGACAACCCAGGCCGCAAGUACAGAGUAUUUAAUUUGCUAGCACUGUAUUUUACCCUGUAACGUUCUAUGACAUCCUAAAACCUGUACAUGGGGAAUACUGUUUUACUUGGGAGACUUUGCUGAGCACAAAUAUUAGUGAUUCAAAACCGUAAAACCUAUCACAGCGAUGAUAUUGUCAGUGAAAGUGACUUUUUUUGCAUUUUUCACACACAAACAGCACUUUUACUGAUGAUAUAAUUGUGGAUACGUUUUACUGUUUUGAAACACUAAUAUUUGUGUUCAACAAAAUCUCCCGAGUAUAACAGUACCCCCAUAUACAGGUUUUAUAGCGUCUUUGAAAGUUACAGGGUCAAAUAUAUGGGUCACAUAUUUUUACAUUGAAAAUUGCCAGGUUGAUUAAGUUGCCUUUUAGAGCAUAUUGUAGCCCAGGAAUGAGAAUUACCCCCAUGAUUGCAUACCAUUUGCAAAAGAAAACAACCCAAGGUAUUGCAAAUGGGUUAUGUCCAGUCUUUUUUAGUAGCCACUUAGUCACAAACACUGGCCAAAAUUAGCAUUCAGUUUAGUUUUUUACUUUUUUCACACACAAACAAAUAUGAACGCUAACUUUGGCCAGUGUUUGUGACUAAGUGGCUACUAAAAAAGACUGGAUAUACCCCAUAUUGCAUACCCUGGGUUGUCUACUUUAAAAAAAUAUGUACAUGUGGGGUGUGAUUCAGAGAUUUAUGAAGAUAAUAGUGUUACAAAUUCCCUAUUGAUACAAUUUAAAAAUAUAUAUUUUGAAACCGCAAUUUCCUAUUUGUACUUAUAGCCCUAUAACUUGCAAGCAAAAAAGCACGUAAACACUGGGUGUUUUAAAACUCAGGACAAAAUGUUGAAUCUAUUUUCAUUAGCUUUCAUAGGUAAGUAAAAGAUUUUUCAAGAAAAAGUAAAAAAAAAAAUUUCACCAUAUUUUAUGGUUUUUAAAGUAAAUUAUAUGACAUGAUACAAAUAAUGGUAUGUAAAGAAAGCCCUUUUUGUCCUAAAAAAAAAAAAUAUAGAACUUGUAUGGGAACAGUAAAUGAGAGAGAGGAAAAUUGCAGCAAAACACAAACACCAUAAAAGUGUUAAAAGAGCCCUGGUCCUCAACGUACAACAUUGCAAAAACAGGCUGGUCCUGAAGGGGUUAAGGGACUUGCAAGAUAAAUAACAUAUGCCCAAACUUUGAUUUGCCUCUUUGCUAAGGAUGCAAUUUAGUGAAGCAACAUUAUGUGUCAUAGUACUGUGCAGUAUCAAACAUUUGCGCUGUUUGUAAAUCUAACCCUAACACUACCUUUGAGGGGUUUACUUUGCUGACCGCAGUAGUGAUCUAGAAGGGAUUUCCACACUCACACAGUACAGAGCACAUUGUGUGCUCUCUAUACUUCUGUGAUCUUCCUCUCAUGCUGCAGCACCUGCAUGCUACUCUUGCCAAUCGUAUGGUGAUCAGUGCUGCUUAGCUGGCACAACCCAGUGCUAAUCACGGUCGUUAAGGAAGCAUGCAGAGAGACUCUACUGGUGUCUCCCUCUGUCCCCUGCAAGCUCCGAAUCCUGCGAGAUUACAAGCUUAUCACAGCGACUGAAUUGAUUGGCCAUGGUGAUUUAAAAGGGUUUAUGCAGAAGCACAGUCAGUCAAGUGGUUAAAUUAUAUACAUAUAUUGUUGUCCUAUAAUUUGUUACUUUUGAAACCUGAGCUUUUCUCUACGUUAUUUAUAUACAUCUAACCAAUCUGUUUGAUUAGAAAAUGGUUGCAGUAGUCGGUUACAAAUUAAAUACAGGAACUGACCACUUUUGGACUUAUUCCCAGAUCUAUAUAUAUUUUUUCUUUUUUGGCUUCCAUUGUGUUUGCUCUACUGUUAGAACAUUGCCGCUGCCCUCCCUCACCCCAUCCAUCAACACAUCUUAUGCUGUGAGUAAUGUCUUUUAUUCAGUUGGAUUAUAUUUUCCAAAAAUAUUUCCCAAAUAUUCAUGGGUUUGUUUAAAGGUUCAUAACAAGUAUGAAUACCACAUAUAAGAAACUGCAGUUAGUGAUUUAUUUUUGGAUGUUUCUAUGUGAUUAUAAUAAACCUCCCAAAAAAUGUAUACUCCCUCUUUUGCAAACUGCAACAUAGAUUUGUGAUUUCUUUUGUGUGCAUGAAGCGCUUUUACACGUUACUUGCCACCAAAAUGUAUUUUCCUAAAAUCAUGCUUUUUUUGUCUGAUGCCAUUAUGCAGAGACCUACAGAAAAUCAAAUUAGUGUGUUUAGCAAUCAAGUUACAUUGGUAUACCAGUUAUAUUCUCUUUGAAUUUCAGAGCCAUUGACUCAAAUUUUGACCUAUAAAAACUAAAUGUAAAAACUAAAUGUAUAGCUUUAAUUUGUGACAUAAGUGCUUUUUUUUCUUUUAAACAUGCUAUUUUUGGUAAAUAGUUUCUAAUCAAAGUAAAAUGCUUUCAAAUAAAAUUUCCAUAAAAGUGUCUGUCCACUUCUAUUUUUCAUAAAUCAUAUUUUAGUGUAGUAUAUUAACUUGAGGUUGGGUUUUAUUAGCCUUCUUCAAAAGAAAAAAUGUGUAUACAACAAAUUAAUACCAUCUUUCUUGGACAAUACAUGGCAGCAUCAGUUUGCAUUAGUGAUGCUAUACAGGAAAAGAAAAUUAUGGUACGUAUGAACACAUUUUCCUUUUUCUUCUAUUCACUGCUUUUGAUGUCCACUACAAGGGUUCCAGUUGGUAAAAGCCACUCCUCAUUCCUGAAGUGAGACACUUUAUUCAUAAGUAAUAGAAAUGAUCAUAUCUGUUGCAUCCAUCACAGCAAGAACAGUGAGAGAAGUUUUCCAACUGAAAGCCUUUGCUGGAGACAGAAUUAAUUUCAUAGUGUGGUUUCCAAGAAUAAAAUACAUUUGUCAGGUUGCUGGUGUGGGUUUAUGAAUAUUAUUUAUUGAUGUGAACCAUGCAUUAAAAUACUUUAUAAAUAUUUUUUUCCAUUUCCUUUUUGCUUGGUGUUUGACCCUAGCACUCCAGUAUGUUUGCCACUGUAGAAAAACUGAUUCCUUUUUGCCGUUUCCAGGAAAUAUCCCUCAUUACACAGGAGACCUCAUAAGAACAUGCUUGUAAAAUGUUUCAUAAACUG